GUGCUGCUGAACUAGAAUUUGUAUUUUCUGCAACUGGCUCCUCUAGGAUCUACUAAUGAUUUACAUCUAAAAGAUGAAGUUAGUAAAGCAUCAGAAAAAAAGAUACUGUGUUGACCAGUGGUCAUGCCACCAUCUAUUUAUUUGUUGGAAAUAUUGUUCACACAUGCAUGAGAUUGAGUCAUCAACAGUGACAAACUGGAUCAUGGAAUCUCACAGUAUCAAGUUUGGAUAGAAAGGAGCCUGGCAAUCUUGUGGUCCACAACACCUCAAUUUACCAAGGAAGCUGUGCAAGCUCAGGUCUCCAGGUUCAUCCCAAAGACCCCAUCCUGGGGCUACCCACAGUGUUCCUAUCUUUAGACCCCCAAAACAGGCUGCUGGGCCCUGUGCUUUAGGGACCUCUGCACUGGCCCUCCCUCGCUGGGUGUGUUCCUCUGCACAGAGUGAAAAGCUGUGAUGCACACAGUCAGUCUUCCCACUUCUAAUCUGUUGGGGCAGCUGUUUGCAAGG
Molecule: long non-coding RNA, 507 nt
Filed under: Papio anubis (olive baboon)
Lineage: Eukaryota; Metazoa; Chordata; Mammalia; Primates; Cercopithecidae
Description: lncRNA (ENSPANG00000038412.1)
Source: RNAcentral